CGAGGGUCUGCGGCUUCAUUCUUGAAGUCAGUGAGAGCAAGAACCCACCAAUUCCAGACACAAUAGUAUCCACAGUGUGUAAAACAGUGAAGGCAUAUGUCCACAGUGAAACUUAAUCCCCGAGGUGUUACUGUCUCUCCAUGCCUGCAUGUGGAUCUCACCAUUCCUCUAGUCCUGGUGCUUGCUUUCAACACAGAGCUCUGGACUGCAAGGCAUUUGAUUUCUGGUAAUUAAUCAGCUCCUCAUACACGCUAUGUUUCUCCCCCAGGCCCAGCUCAAGUGAGUGAUCCAAAUCUGGCUUCAGGAAAAAAGAAAGUGUUUAUGCUCUGAGUGCACAGAAUGAAACACUGAUAAACAGUUCUUGGUAAAACAUUGAAUCACAUGGCAUUAUUUUUCUUUUCAAGUCAUAAGUCAUUGUGAAAAAAUACACGUAGCAAAAAAACCAAAACCAAAACAAAAGCCAAACAAAAACACGUUGGAUGCCCUUUAAACAGAAAGCAUUUUGUCCUGCUAGAAAGAGUUAUCAGGAUUUGCUGGUAUUUGUGUAUCUGGUGCCUUUUAAAGUGUUUGCCUAGAAUGUGAAUGUUCAUUUUUUAAACAUCUUUUUGUUUGACUCUUUAUCCACAGUACUUUAUCUUAUGGUU
RNAcentral lists this long non-coding RNA (644 nucleotides) under Homo sapiens (human). RNAcentral's name for it is "HSALNT0293336". The record is from RNAcentral. Lineage: Eukaryota; Metazoa; Chordata; Mammalia; Primates; Hominidae.